Long non-coding RNA from Tympanuchus pallidicinctus (lesser prairie-chicken), 3131 nucleotides. RefSeq lists it as uncharacterized. NCBI's taxonomy places the organism in Eukaryota, Metazoa, Chordata, Aves, Galliformes, Phasianidae. The record is from RefSeq and is a predicted model, not a curated record. The transcript has 3 exons.
CAGCAGCUGCAAAUGACAUAACAUUUCAAAAAUCAUCCAAGACAGAAUCAACUAUAUUACAAUGUUGUUGUCUGAACUGUUCUUAAAGAUGCAUAACGACAGAUGAAAUGGAAUUUUCAUGGAGACUCAAAGCAAGAUGGAAGGAUAAAGAAGAAAAUGUGACAAUAGGAGAGAAUGUGCCUGGUGUGGUCUGACAAGUUCCCUAAAGUUGCAGGGCACAUCACAGCAUCACAGUCUACACUGCAUUUGGAUAAAACUCUGCUCCCCUUUUGUUUAAUGGAGUGUCAGAACUGGUCCUUUCACAAAUAUGUCAGUUAGAAGCUAUUAUAUUUGAUUUGUUAAAGAAAUAAUAUCUGACAGUUCCUCCUAUCACUAUUAUUACGUUCUCUCUUUUCUGUAACAAAAACAAAGAAGAGUUUUACUCUCAGAAUUGAUGGUGUUAAAAAAAAGCCAACAAAUCUAUCUUGGAUAUUUUAGUUAAUUUAAAGAGGAAAAUGUUCUCAGAUUAGUACAUCACAUCAUUUGGAGAUGAAAAAUUUUUUGAAAACUUUGCAUGUAACCUUGGAUAGGUAUUACAGUAUUACAGUAAAAAAAUCUUAUGGGGUAUGAAAUAAAUUAUACAGACAUAUUUCACUUAUAAUGUGUGCUACUCAGUUGGAUAUCUGUAUCUAACUUUAGAAAUAUCUGAAUCACCACAAAAAAUCCUUUGUUAAUAUUCAUUUAAGGUUUAGUAUAGUUUUUAUUAAAAUAGAUCUGCAAUUUCUGUAAUUUUAUAAGAAGCUUAAAUCAAGGCCAGUGAGUGAAAGGAAUGUAUUGCUUUGGGAUAUGCACUUUUCUGGGAGUAAAAAAAAAAAAAGGAGAUUUUUUUCUCUAGUGAGACUCUUUUGUCUCUUUGAGUAUAGUCAAUACAUCACACUUCAUCUCCUGAGGAUUGGCAAAGUUAUUCAUUCAGUGUCCUCUGUAAUCUGAUACUGGUCAUCAACAAUUUCAUUGAAGCAUAUAUGUUGCCAUAUCCAUCCUAUUUAAGCAUUCAUCAGAGAUACUUUUAUGAUGACAGCCUCAAGUUAUCAUGGAUUUGCAAAAUGAAGAUUGUUAAUUGCUGUUAGCUGUAGUAGCUAAUAUCCUGCAAGAUGGUAUCAGAUGCCAAAAUGAGCCGGUUCAAACAGUAAUCUUUUGAAAUUGACAGUUUAAAUUCUUCUGAGUUAUUCAUUAAAUAAGGGUGGUAUAAUAGCCUUUCUAAACAAAUAAAAACAAGGAAAAAAAGGCACACAAUGUAAUUUAGGAGAAAAAAAACCUGGCUAUAUUUAUCUAUACAGUUAAGUAAAAUAUUCUAUUCUUUUUAUGAAUAUAUCUUGUAUCACUAUGGAAAUUUCAUAAAUUUAAGUCUUUUACUCUAUCAUGCCUUGUUUUUUUUUUUAAAUGUCUUUUACACUGUAAGUAGUCAGAGUUGUGGUAGCCUUGAAGUGCCCUUUGAUAUUUCAAGUAUUCUCAGAUGUACAAAUGAUUUUAAGUGUAACUAUUUAAAAUUUCAGUUUUCAUUAGUAAACAAUCUCAUUAGUGUCUGCUCCUGUGUGCAUGAUCUUGUCUGAAAUAAUAUUUUGAGAAUGAAUUCAACAAAAACAAAAGGUAAGCUUAAAGACAAGUAUAUAAAUAGCACUAUAGAAAUAACUGUAUUGUCAUGUUUCUAGUUUUUCUUCUUAUAUUCUUUAGUAUGCCCUUAUAACAUUUCCAUUUUAUUAUUGGUCUAACCAGGUAGCUGUUAAGGUGUUAUUUAAGGUUAUUUUUUCAAGACGUUACAGUUACUUUAGAAAAUGUAUGCAAAAGAAUGAAUGAAUGGGCAUGAAUUGUCUUUUAUCUGGGAAGAAUUUCCUCUGCCAUGAUGAAUCUGAAUUAUGCCAAUCAUCUUUAUAAAAUCUACAAGUAUUCAUCCACCAUCACAAUUGGAGUGAUAGCUGCCGUUUAUCAUUACACCCUCAGCAAGUUUGCAGGAAACACCAUACUAAGUAGUGAUAUGACAGAAGGAAGGAAUACCAUCCAAAGGUACGCAGACAAGCUCAAAAAGUGGAUCUCUGUGAACAUAAUGAGGUUUAACAAGACCAAGUGCAAGGUGUUGCAAUUGGGUCAGAGCAAUCCUAGGCUGGAGUAAGACUGGGAGAAGAAAUCACUGAGAGCAGCCUAGUGGAGAAGGACUUGAAGGGUUCUGGUGAUGAAAAGCUCAACAUGAGCCGUCAGUGUGCUCUUGCAGACUGGAAGGCCAAUUGUAUCCUGUGUUAUAUCAAGAGAAGGAUGGUCAGCAAAUCAAGGGAGAUGGAUCACCGCAAUCUUAACGUUUCAGACAGCUUCCAUCAGUCUUUUUUUCUGAAACCUAAGCCUUCUUCCCCAAAUUCAUCUUUGUGUCCAUGAUCAGAUUUCUGGUCUUUUACUGAUUGAUCCAAAGAGAUACUAGCAUGGAACAGAUACUUAUAAAGAAUUUCUUAGUAGUCAUUUUCACUGGUGAAGAAAAGAAGAUAGGUAGUACUUCUUUUCUGUAUUGUCUGUUGGUGUCCCUCUGAACUAUUUCCUAGGGGCUGCCCGAUGUAAUGCCAGGUUUUGCUAACAAUGAAAAUGACCACUGCUAAAGUCAUGUCUCAAAAUAGAAAGGAAAAGAUUAUAAAUCUCCACUGUGAUUUCUUAUUUCCAACAAGAAAUCAACUUCAGUUGGAAUUAAACUAUAUUUUAAAAGAUAAAGUGGCUUUCACUGUGAUUUAAAUUCUUCAGAGUCUAAGGAGACCUAAGCCACAUGUAAGCCAUUUGAUAUAUGACUUCUUGUUUGGUGGAGAUAGGCCACAUCACAUUUGACCUUGAAAUUCAUUGGAAGCCACAUUCUGAAAGAGUCUGUUGGAAUUUAAAGGAAAUUCAUACAAACCUUCACUGAUCUAUUUGCAGCAUAGGAGUAUUUGAGCAACAAUGUUUAUUCCAUGAAUAGAGUUAGAACACGGACUCAAGCAAAAUUCAAAUUCCUCUAGGGCUUUAAAUGUCAGUGUUCCUUGUACAAGUGUCUCAAUAUAAAUUUAACACUGUUCCUAACACAUGUAUUGCACUAAUCCUAAAGUAUCUCAGAUUUAAAAAAAUAAAGAAAAAGCUAAGAAUUA